RNAcentral lists this ribosomal RNA (445 nucleotides) under uncultured bacterium. Its description in RNAcentral is "bacterial SSU rRNA". It matches the Rfam family "Bacterial small subunit ribosomal RNA", at positions 331 to 793 of the family's 1533-position model. The record is from RNAcentral.
CCAGACUCCUACGGGAGGCAGCAGUGGGGAAUAUUGCACAAUGGGGGGAACCCUGAUGCAGCGACGCCGCGUGGGUGAAGGAGUACUUCGGUACGUAAAGCCCUAUCAGCAGGAAAGAAAAUGACGGUACCUGACUAAGAAGCCCCGGCUAACUACGUGCCAGCAGCCGCGGUAAUACGUAGGGGGCAAGCGUUAUCCGGAUUUACUGGGUGUAAAGGGAGCGUAGACGGCAGUGCAAGUCCGGAGUGAAAGCCCGGGGCCCAACCCCGGGACUGCUCUUGGAACUGCGUGGCUGGAGUGCAGGAGGGGCAGGCGGAAUUCCUGGUGUAGCGGUGAAAUGCGUAGAUAUCAGGAGGAACACCGGUGGCGAAGGCGGCCUGCUGGACUGCAACUGACGUUGAGGCCCGAAAGCGUGGGGAGCAAACAGGAUUAGAUACCCGCGUAC